UGGGGGAGGCCGGAUCCUGGGCUGUGUCCCGGCGCCCUGUGCUACGGGGCCUGCACUGUUGGAUUCGCGCCGCGCUCCUGCCCCGCAGCCCCCU
RNAcentral lists this microRNA precursor (94 nucleotides) under Canis lupus familiaris (dog). Its description in RNAcentral is "mir-8799 microRNA precursor family". It matches the Rfam family "mir-8799 microRNA precursor family". Lineage: Eukaryota; Metazoa; Chordata; Mammalia; Carnivora; Canidae. The record is from Rfam by way of RNAcentral.